RNAcentral lists this ribosomal RNA (473 nucleotides) under Selenomonas sp. oral taxon 479. RNAcentral's name for it is "bacterial SSU rRNA". It matches the Rfam family "Bacterial small subunit ribosomal RNA", at positions 28 to 474 of the family's 1533-position model. Lineage: Bacteria; Bacillati; Bacillota; Negativicutes; Selenomonadales; Selenomonadaceae. The record is from RNAcentral.
GACGAACGCUGGCGGCGUGCUUAACACAUGCAAGUCGAACGGAGCGAAUGAAAGCUUGCUUUUAUGAGCUUAGUGGCAAACGGGUGAGUAACACGUAGACAACCUGCCGACAGGAUGGGGACAACAUUCCGAAAGGAAUGCUAAUACCGAAUGAAGUCAGAGAAGGGCAUCCUUUUCUGAUGAAAGAUGGCCUCUGAACAUGCUAUCACCUGUCGAUGGGUCUGCGUCUGAUUAGCUAGUUGGUGAGGUGACGGCUCACCAAGGCGACGAUCAGUAGCCGGUCUGAGAGGAUGAACGGCCACAUUGGGACUGAGACACGGCCCAGACUCCUACGGGAGGCAGCAGUGGGGAAUCUUCCGCAAUGGGCGCAAGCCUGACGGAGCAACGCCGCGUGAGUGAAGAAGGUCUUCGGAUCGUAAAGCUCUGUUGACGGGGACGAACGUGCGAAGGGUGAAUAAUCCUUUGCAAUGGCG